Homo sapiens (human) is the source of this 679-nucleotide long non-coding RNA. Ensembl annotates it as CDC20 divergent transcript. Its record names the gene CDC20-DT. The record is from Ensembl. NCBI's taxonomy places the organism in Eukaryota, Metazoa, Chordata, Mammalia, Primates, Hominidae.
GCCCUUUUGCGUGCCUUCCACCGCCGCGAGCUCGGAAUGUCUGGCCCCGGGUGCUUCAGGGUCCGAGAACCUGCAGAAGUUCACACUUAAAUCCUACACGAGAGUCGUAUUUAUGAUGCAGAACUCGGUGCAGAACCCGAUGGAGUGCCCAAGGCGCUUGAGCCGUUCCUAGAAGGGGAAGGAGAGCCGCGGGCGGCAGCGGGGCAGGGGACGGAAUUGGGAAGCUUGGGAGCAGGAAGAAGGCCAGAGCUACUUAGGGCCAUGCGCGGUGGCUCACGCUUGUAAUCCCAGCACUUUGGGAGGCCGAGGCGGGCAGAUCACGAAGUCAGAAGAUCGAGACCAUCCUGGCUAACACGGGACUCAAGACUGGAAUGGGAAGAGCAUGAAAUUGAGCUGUCUAUCCCCCUGGAUCUCUCAUUGCCACCUGCCCAUAGGUUGGCUGCACCCCUCCACCAAAGAAAGGCCAUGACUCCUUCCUGGCAGCCCUGUCUUACAGCUACUCUCUGGUGAUCUGGGAACCACUCCCUCCCUUACCCCUUGAUGCCUAGGGCUAGUGCCAGCACCUUGUUGUUGUUAGCCUCAGAGGCACUUGCACUGUUCCUUGAUGGUUUUCCCAAAUCUUGCCCUCAUCUUUGUAAAUACUGUUUGCCGUUUAUUACACUGUCAUCAUAUUACCCAA